UAGAUGUGGGUUCGUCUACAGCAUGAGGAUUCUGGGGGACUAAGGCAGAUGAGCUCCUAGAACCGCUAGAGGCGAAGGUGCCAGAAGACAUUUCAAGCAAGAACCCUAAAAAUCUCGAAGAGAUCUGGCGAAAUCAGAUCCGAAAGGUUCAUGGGAGAUCUAACAAGAAGAAUGUAGCAGAAGGAAAAUUGAGGAGAAGGGGCACCUAGAUGGCAAG
Molecule: long non-coding RNA, 217 nt
Filed under: Elaeis guineensis (African oil palm)
Lineage: Eukaryota; Viridiplantae; Streptophyta; Magnoliopsida; Arecales; Arecaceae
Description: long non-coding RNA (EGUI_LNC056400)
Source: RNAcentral